CCUACGGGAGGCAGCAGUGGGGAAUAUUGCACAAUGGGGGAAACCCUGAUGCAGCGACGCCGCGUGAGUGAAGAAGUAUUUCGGUAUGUAAAGCUCUAUCUGCAGGGAAGAAAAUGACGGUACCUGACUAAGAAGCCACGGCUAACUACGUGCAAGCAGCCGCGGUAAUACGUAGGGGGCAAGCGUUAUCCGGAUUUACUGGGUGUAAAGGGAGCGUAGUGGGCGGAACAAGGCAGAAGUGAAAACUCGGGGCUCAACCCUGGGAGUGCUUUUGAAACUGUUUGGCUGGAGUGCAGGAGAGGUAAGCGGAAUUCCUGGUGUAGCGGUGAAAUGCGUAGAUAUUAGGAGGAACACCAGUGGCGAAGGCGGCUUACUGGACUGUAACUGACGUUGAGGCUCGAAAGCGUGGGGAGCAAACAGGAUUAGAUACCCCUGUAGUC
Molecule: ribosomal RNA, 440 nt
Filed under: uncultured bacterium
Lineage: Bacteria
Description: partial 16S ribosomal RNA
Rfam family: Bacterial small subunit ribosomal RNA
Source: RNAcentral